This 495-nucleotide ribosomal RNA is filed under the name uncultured bacterium. Its description in RNAcentral is "partial 16S ribosomal RNA". It matches the Rfam family "Bacterial small subunit ribosomal RNA", at positions 28 to 507 of the family's 1533-position model. The record is from RNAcentral.
GACGAACGCUGGCGGCGUGCCUAAUACAUGCAAGUAGAACGCUGAAGGCGGAGCUUGCUUCUCUGGAUGAGUUGCGAACGGGUGAGUAACGCGUAGGUAACCUGCCCGGUAGCGGGGGAUAACUAUUGGAAACGAUAGCUAAUACCGCAUAAGAGUAGAUGUCGCAUGACAUUUGCUUAAAAGGUGCAAUUGCAGCACUACCAGAUGGACCUGCGUUGUAUUAGGUAGUUGGUGAGGUAACGGCCCACCAAGGCAACGAUACAUAGCCGACCUGAGAGGGUGCUCGGCCACACUGGGACGGAGACACGGCCCAGACUCCUACGGGAGGCAGCAGUAGGGAAUCUUCGGCAAUGGACGGAAGUCUGACCGAGCAACGCCGCGUGAGUGAAGAAGGUUUUCGGAUCGUAAAGCUCUGUUGUAAGAGAAGAACGAGUGUGAGAGUGGAAAGUUCACACUGUGACGGUAUCUUACCAGAAAGGGACGGCUAACUACGUG